UAGCUGCAAAAAUACCUCUAGGUGUUCCGGACACUAUGUGCCUAUAGCUGGCUACAGGAUCACAGCAGCCAAAAGCCCUCCAGGAAGAAGUAUGGAAGCAGCUUUAUUGAGGUUGCCAGCAAGGAUUACGGCUUCUUUGACGCAUGAACGUUUUGGAAUUUAUGAGGAUUUUAAUGAGGAUUUUCUGAAAAAAAUAAAAAUUGUUAUGUUCUGGGCAUUCAUCUAUCCUCUCAUCAGCUUUUGAUCUACCACAUCUUGGGAUAUGAAUAAUGUUUCUGUUAAUGAGCCAGCCUCUGGGAACCAUCACUCUCCUAUUGCUUAAGAUUUCCAGUUGUUACCUUAGAAUUUUGCAACAUAAAUUUACAAUUAAUCCAAACCUGCUUUCAAAUAACACCAUAUCACCACGUAGCUAAACUUUACCUCAGAUACUGCUGAUAUUUACUGAUACAAUUGGCUCUGGGUCGAACUUGAAGCUGCAGCAGAAGAAGAUAUGGAAAAACUAAAAUCUUCCUCAAGCAAAUAUUAGAGUAAUUGUCAUUAUCUCACCAUGCUCUUUUCCUGGUUAUAAAUAUGCUAGAAAACAUUCUUACUGUAAUUUUAAUAAAGUAUUUCUCUAUGUUUU
Homo sapiens (human) is the source of this 622-nucleotide long non-coding RNA. RefSeq lists it as uncharacterized. The transcript has 7 exons. Lineage: Eukaryota; Metazoa; Chordata; Mammalia; Primates; Hominidae. The record is from RefSeq and is a predicted model, not a curated record.